Molecule: transfer RNA, 86 nt
Filed under: Candidatus Sericytochromatia bacterium
Lineage: Bacteria; Bacillati; Candidatus Sericytochromatia
Description: tRNA-Leu
Rfam family: tRNA
About the family: Transfer RNA (tRNA) molecules are approximately 80 nucleotides in length.
Source: RNAcentral
GGGGACGUGGCGAAAUUGGCAGACGCGCCAGCUUGAGGUGCUGGUGUCCAAAAGACGUAAGGGUUCAAGUCCCUUCGUCCCCACCA